UUAUUGCUUUUUAAAUAGUUAGUUGGUUAAUUGUAAUGAUCUAUCAUUUCUUGUUCUCUACUUGCUGUUUUGGUCAAUGAUGUUCUUAUCUUGAUUGCCUCAAAAGGGUGCUGCUGGUUUAUAAAUAUACCAAUUGAUGGCUGAAAUAGGGAAGGCUUUGACAGGAUAUGUAGUUGGAGUGAUUGUUCUAGCUUUUGCAUUAUUCGCGUCUGCUGAGCGAAUAGCAAAUGAUGGAACAAGUGAUGAUUUUGAAUCAGGACUAUUUAAGCUUCUGCUUCACAAGGCUAAAAUGCAUUACCAACAUUUUUGGCCUGACUUGGAAUUUGGGUGGAGAGUAAUUGUUGGCUCUGACAUCGGAUAUUUUACUGUCGUCUUUGGGAGUUUUGGAGAUGAUAGGGGAAAUGGUAUCUUUGUUCCCAUGCUUAUUUUGAUCAUUGGAUUUGAUCCAAAAACAUGAACUGCAAUUUCAAUAUGUAUAAUAACAGGUAUAUCAGGGGAAGCUGUGUUGCUAUCCAAUACUUGACCAUCCCGUCACCGAUUCUGAUCUAGCACUUCUUUUAACACCAAUGCUGUUACUAGGGAUCAGUAUUGGUGUUGCUCUUAACGUUAUUUUUUGCUGAGUGGAUGAUUAUAGUUAUGUUGAUCAUUCUUAUCAUAGGUAAUGAUGAUUCAGCUGUGAUUCCUACCCAUAUUAUCGAUAUAGUUUUUCUGAUUGAUUUAAGGGACUUGUAGUUACAUCAACUAGGUCAUUCUUCAAGGGUGUUGAGGAAUGGAAAGAAAAAAACAGAAUGCAUAAGUAUUGGAACAUAGAACCAUAUGAAGAAUAAGAAGACGAAAAUGAACGUAAAACUGCAACAGAUGCUGGUGCUGAAGAUAUUAUGUACAAACUUCUACCUAGAGGUCCAAGAAUUAGAAAUGAAGAGGUGAUCACUUUCAUAUUUGUCGCUAUCAAUUUACUUGACUACCUAUAUGGUAAAUGUAUAAUUUUUCAUAAACAAGCAUUACCUCAAGUUAUUUUGAAGUUGAUGUGCCUUUCUCUAUUGUUGUGUGGGUCAUUUUCCUCGUUCUGCAUAUCGCUAAGGUUUAUUUCUUUAAAUUGCUUGUCUGUUUAUAAUACCUUUACAUUUUCAGGACCACCUUCUGCACUAUUAACUUUCUAACUAGAAGCUAUGUAACAUUUUUUUUGUACAGACAUAGACAUCAACUUGUUCAACGACAUAUUGGAUCUUAAACCUCUU
Molecule: non-coding RNA, 1238 nt
Organism: Solanum lycopersicum (tomato)
Lineage: Eukaryota; Viridiplantae; Streptophyta; Magnoliopsida; Solanales; Solanaceae
Source: RefSeq, a predicted model, not a curated record